RNAcentral lists this ribosomal RNA (253 nucleotides) under uncultured bacterium. RNAcentral describes it as "partial 16S ribosomal RNA". It matches the Rfam family "Bacterial small subunit ribosomal RNA", at positions 524 to 776 of the family's 1533-position model. The record is from RNAcentral.
GACAGAGGGUGCAAACGUUGUUCGGAAUUACUGGGCGUAAAGCGCACGUAGGCGGCUUUGUAAGUUAGAGGUGAAAGCCCGGAGCUCAACUCCGGAAUUGCCUUUAAGACUGCAUCGCUCGAAUCAUGGAGAGGUGAGUGGAAUUCCGAGUGUAGAGGUGAAAUUCGUAGAUAUUCGGAGGAACACCAGUGGCGAAGGCGACUCACUGGACAUGUAUUGACGCUGAGGUGCGAAAGCGUGGGGAGCAAACAGG